UAGAGAGAGGAUAGCAGAGAGGAAAGAAGAACGAGCGCCCUGUACAAGAAAUCUUCACCAAAGAGACAGAGAUCGAUUAGCUUAACAAAUUGCUGGUUUCGAAUAGUUUCGAACUCGCACAGAGAGAGGAGAGAAGAAGGAGAAGAAGGAGCUCGCCCCCUUGUGGAAUCUCCUCAGCAGAGCAGGUAUUGGGACAAAUUUUAGGGUUUUUCUAGACCCCCUAUACAGAGAGGUAAAGUCUUCUUCUUCUCUUCUAUUUCGUCUUCUUCUCUUCUAUUUCUUCU
Molecule: long non-coding RNA, 284 nt
Organism: Macadamia integrifolia
Lineage: Eukaryota; Viridiplantae; Streptophyta; Magnoliopsida; Proteales; Proteaceae
Exons: 3
Source: RefSeq, a predicted model, not a curated record